UACAGAGGGUGCGAGCGUUAAUCGGAAUUACUGGGCGUAAAGGGCGCGUAGGCGGUUAUAUGAGUGUGAUGUGAAAGCCCCGGGCUUAACCUGGGAAGUGCAUCGCAAACGAUAUAACUGGAGUAUAGGAGAGGGUGGCGGAAUUUCCGGUGUAGCGGUGAAAUGCGUAGAGAUCGGAAGGAACGUCGAUGGCGAAGGCGGCGCUCUGGAACGUUUCUGACGCUGAGGCUCGAAAGCGUGGGGAGCAAACAGG
This 253-nucleotide ribosomal RNA is filed under the name uncultured prokaryote. Its description in RNAcentral is "partial 16S ribosomal RNA". It matches the Rfam family "Bacterial small subunit ribosomal RNA", at positions 524 to 776 of the family's 1533-position model. The record is from RNAcentral.